GCAAUCGAUCUCUUUUGCGGGCAUUUGCAGGCCCGCUCGGAGAUGAUGUUCCCCUUUUCCGCUACUUUCGGAAGGGCCGGCCGGAACAACCGCCGGCCCUCUUUCU
Molecule: small RNA, 106 nt
Filed under: Sinorhizobium meliloti 2011
Lineage: Bacteria; Pseudomonadati; Pseudomonadota; Alphaproteobacteria; Hyphomicrobiales; Rhizobiaceae
Description: putative ncRNA
Source: RNAcentral